RNAcentral lists this long non-coding RNA (350 nucleotides) under Carassius auratus (goldfish). Its description in RNAcentral is "lncRNA (ENSCARG00000046435.1)". The record is from RNAcentral. Lineage: Eukaryota; Metazoa; Chordata; Actinopteri; Cypriniformes; Cyprinidae.
GAAUAUUUAAUUUACUAUUAUUACAUAUUUAAAUUAUUUAUAUAUGUGAUUUUUUUUAAAGUCUGGAAUUGCAUAACAAUAUUCAACAAAAAUGUCAGGUUGACAGCAAUUGAUCAUGCUUUUUAGCAGAAUGAAAAAAACUUAAUUGUUUGAUGAUCCUCCUUUUUGUAUUUAACAGGGAAAUGUCAUCAAAACAGUUUGCUGAAACAUGAAGAUGCAAAUGAUAAGCUUCAAACUUCUGAGAUCUGGGGAAACAUCAGCACCAGGACCUUUUUAACAUCUUCAAACUGACAGUGGCUUUUGGCUGGCUAAUCACCCCUGACCCCUUUGACGACACCUGACUGCAUCUU